Molecule: non-coding RNA, 1375 nt
Organism: Neofelis nebulosa (Clouded leopard)
Lineage: Eukaryota; Metazoa; Chordata; Mammalia; Carnivora; Felidae
Source: the annotation of a RefSeq genome assembly
CACUCUGUGGUAGAGAAUCAUAUUGUCAAAUGGUAAAAGUAGCUGAUUUAAAACUGGACAACACUGUUCACACUUCUUGAGUAUAUUUCUGUUGGCAUUUUUGUAUUUUUGGUUACUAAAGAGUUUCCUCCUUUAGAAAUACAAUCCCAGAUUGCUAACAGAGCAGGUCUGGUGUUUCUGAGAAGAGAAGGGCUUUUCCUUUGAUGUGGUCUCUGAGUAGUUUCACACACUUGAACACCUGGAAAUCAAAACAUUUUAAUUGACUGAACACUUUUCCUGGUAAUUUAAUUUUUUUUUCAUGUUUAUUUUUGUUUUUGAGAAAGAGAGAGGGAGAGACAGAAUCUGAAACAGGCUCCAGACUCUGAGCCGUCAGCACAGAGCCCGACAUGAGACUGGAACCUGGGAAAGGCAAGAUCAUGACCUAGGCCAAAGUCGGACACUCAACCGACUGAGCCACCCAGGUGCCCCUCCUGGUAAUUUAAAUGAGUAGUUGGAUGACAUGUUACUCCCAAUCUCUCUCUCUCUCUCUCUUCUUUUUACUUGUGCUCUAAUUGUUUCCAUUUUCUAUCAUCACUUUCUGUAAUUACUGACUCCUUGGAAAACACAGAUUUUUAUCAACCAAUCUGAGGAAAAUUUAUAAAAUGUCAGACGCCACGAAGCCUAUAUUCAAAGACUUCCAAGGGAGUCCAGAAGAUCAAAUUGCCAGGACAAGGUUUCUACUUGCUGGUCAUGCCAUGAGGCUCAGGACAAGGCUGACGUUUUUGUAGAAGCUCUAACCAGUGUGAUGAAUCAGGAUGGAUCAAGAUAUUUGCAGAAGGAACUAAGCUCAUAGUAACUCCCCCAGAUAAAAGCCCUGAUGAAGACACUUCCCCCAAGCCCACGAUUUUUCUUCCUUCACCUGCUGAAAGAACACUCCAUAAGACUGGAACAUAUCUUUGUCUUCUUGAGGAUUUUUUCCCUGAUGUUAUCAAGGUAGAUUGGGAAGAGAAAGAUGGCAAAACAAUUCUGAAAUCCCAGCAGGGAAACACCAUGAAGACUAAGGACACAUACAUGAAAUACACCUGGCUGACUGUGACAGAAAAGUCAAUGGAUAAAGAACACAAAUGUAUUGUCAAACACGAGAAGAAUAAAGGAGGGGUUGAUCAAGAGAUUCUGUUUCCUUCAAUAAACACAGAACCCCCUGCUAUUAAUUCUACAGAAGCUUCACUGAAAGAUGAAAAUGCUUCUUUUAGACCCCCUACAGCUGCAGCUAGUGACCAGCUCUGCCUACUACACCUACAUCAUCCUCCUCGUCAAGAGCGUGGUCUAUACCAUCAUCAUCGCCUACCGUCUGCUUGGGAGAUCAGCACUCUGCCGCAAUGAGAAGAGUUCCUAA